GGCUGCUAAGGAAACUGGUGCCCUUCAGGCUGCCAAAAAUAAGCUGGAAAAGAAAGUUGAAGAAUUAACCUGGCGUCUGCAGCUAGAGAAGCGAAUGAGGGUAUAUUGAGAUGAUUUCUUUGGAGCAAUUCUUAACAACAUUUGUAGUUGAGGCCUUUAGAAUGGAAGAAUGUAUUUCACUAAUUUUUGUAUACAUUUCUUGUUUUGUAUUUAGUGAUAAAGGAAUCUGAAUUGGGCAUAAAUUAUGUUGUAAUAUGAUUUCUUAAGCCUAGACUAGUAGACUAAAUAUUGUAAUUACAUUUGAGUAAUUAAUAAAAAUCUAUUUAUGUUACCUUAA
This is a long non-coding RNA of Humulus lupulus (European hop), 337 nucleotides long. RefSeq lists it as uncharacterized. The record is from RefSeq and is a predicted model, not a curated record. NCBI's taxonomy places the organism in Eukaryota, Viridiplantae, Streptophyta, Magnoliopsida, Rosales, Cannabaceae. The transcript is spliced from 2 exons.